Molecule: long non-coding RNA, 1144 nt
Organism: Manis pentadactyla (Chinese pangolin)
Lineage: Eukaryota; Metazoa; Chordata; Mammalia; Pholidota; Manidae
Exons: 2
Source: RefSeq, a predicted model, not a curated record
GUGUGCUCCUAUAUCUGAUCUGCUAAAGAAAGCACAGGUAGACAUCAGCUUUGCCCCAGACCAGGCUCUCCAUUUUGCCCCUUCAGCUGAUGUACUCUGCUCUCAAAAGGGUUUCCACGGCCCUUCUUGGCCCUUAUGGGCUCCAGAAAAUGCUCUGGCCAUGGUGACUCUGUGGAGAGUCUACCCAAGGGCUAGGCUUUCCACACGUGGCACGCCCUCUGGACUUGAGUAGGGCCCCAUGCUCCCUCCUCGGGACUGUUGGAGCAGGUUUCUCUGACGGUGAGAGAAGCCUGAUCUCAGUGGCAGCUCUUAUAGCCAGGAGGAUGGUGGGUGGGGGGCGAUAUGUCCAGCUCAGGAGGAAGCAACGCUGAGCUGAAUAUUGUGUAAAUUUCAGACCCUUAUCCUCUAUAUGAGUACAUGGUACCAGGCGCUGAGGAGUCAUAAUCCCUCAGGAUGGACAAGCUCACUAUUGAGCAGUUGAGCUGCUGCAAGGAACUGGUGAAGCAACAGCUGAGAAGUUUUUAGUCAUCCUCCUGCACAGAGACAACUUUCUGUUUCGCUGCCAGUUUCUGUACCCUACUCCACUGCCCUUAAGAGUGUAAAAUCCACCUGUCCUUGCUUGGAUGCCUCUAAAUUCUAGGUUUCAUGGAUUCUGUAACAAGAAGGGAAGAGGGCCCUGGAAGAGCAACUGAGAAAAAGUCCCGGAGUCUUUAGAAGAAAACAAGAGAAAAAGGCAGGUCACUAGAGGGAAGGGUAGUCUGACAGACCCUGCCUCCCUCUCCCCUGGGCCUGAGACCAAGGAUAAUAAAUCAGUGCUCAUACUGCAACUUGGUUCUCCUUCUCGAGCAAGGGCUGGGGUCGGCCCCGAGCAGAGCUGGAAUAUCAGGUCAGAGGUAGACCUGGCUCAGGAUCAAAGGGCCAGGCUGGUCCUGACUGACCAGUUCUCGCUGCUCCACCUGCGAUCAGAGCUAAGUCCUUCCAGCUUCCUGGGCUUCUACCAAACACAUGGGUAGCACUUUAAGCCCCAACUACCUUGCCAGCCACUGCAAAAAUGGGAGUCUUUCCAAAUGCAUUUACUCGGACUUGGCCAUGAUUUACGUCCUUUCAUUACCAGAACUGGAUUAUAAAGUAUGCUUCAUUUAAU